UUCCAUAACUGUCAGUUUACUAAGAGGAA
RNAcentral lists this non-coding RNA (29 nucleotides) under Mus musculus (house mouse). The record is from RNAcentral. Lineage: Eukaryota; Metazoa; Chordata; Mammalia; Rodentia; Muridae.